AUACUGGUAGGUGAGGCUACCACAGGGAUACGGGUUACUGCCGCAAAAUAGUGGAGACACUAUGAGAUGGUUAACAGUCUUCGUCGAAUUCAAGGCGUCGAAUAAUGUAAUUUCAUUGCCCUGUGAAGUUAAAGCUUGAACGGUAAU
RNAcentral lists this small RNA (147 nucleotides) under uncultured Cetobacterium sp. RNAcentral's name for it is "M-box riboswitch (ykoK leader)". It matches the Rfam family "M-box riboswitch aptamer (ykoK leader)", at positions 10 to 160 of the family's 169-position model. Rfam says of the family: M-box riboswitch, also know as ykoK leader is described as a metaloregulatory RNA that sense divalent metals and function as a genetic control element of genes related to divalent metal transport in bacteria. It was first reported upstream of the B.subtilis ykoK gene and genes with related functions in other bacteria. Lineage: Bacteria; Fusobacteriati; Fusobacteriota; Fusobacteriia; Fusobacteriales; Fusobacteriaceae. The record is from RNAcentral.